RNAcentral lists this ribosomal RNA (742 nucleotides) under uncultured Methanomicrobiaceae archaeon. RNAcentral's name for it is "bacterial SSU rRNA". It matches the Rfam family "Archaeal small subunit ribosomal RNA", at positions 83 to 831 of the family's 1478-position model. The record is from RNAcentral. Lineage: Archaea; Methanobacteriati; Methanobacteriota; Methanomicrobia; Methanomicrobiales; Methanomicrobiaceae.
AACGGCUCAGUAACACGUGGACAACCUACCCUAAGGAGUGGGAUAACCCCGGGAAACUGGGGAUAAUACCCCAUAGACUAUGGAUGCUGGAAUGCUUUGUAGUCGAAAGGUCCGCCGCCUUAGGAUGGGUCUGCGGCCGAUUAGGUUGUUGUUGGGGUAACGGCCCAACAAGCCUGUAAUCGGUACGGGUUGUGGGAGCAAGAGCCCGGAGAUGGAUUCUGAGACACGAAUCCAGGCCCUACGGGGCGCAGCAGGCGCGAAAACUUUACAAUGCGGGAAACCGUGAUAAGGGAACUCCGAGUGCCCGUUAAAUCGGGCUGUCCACCAGUUUAAACAACUGGUGAAGAAAGGGCCGGGCAAGACCGGUGCCAGCCGCCGCGGUAAUACCGGCGGCUCGAGUGGUGGCCACUAUUACUGGGCUUAAAGCGUUCGUAGCUGGUUUGUUAAGUCUCUGGGGAAAUCUACCGGCUUAACCGGUAGGCGCCUCAGGGAUACUGGCAGACUAGGGACCGGGAGAGGUGAGAGGUACUCCAGGGGUAGGAGUGAAAUCCUGUAAUCCUUGGGGGACUACCUGUGGCGAAGGCGUCUCACCAGAACGGCUCCGACAGUGAGGGACGAAAGCUGGGGGAGCAAACCGGAUUAGAUACCCGGGUAGUCCCAGCUGUAAACGAUGCGCGUUAGGUGUAUCGGUGACCACGAGUCACCGAGGUGCCGAAGAGAAAUCGUGAAACGUGCCGCCUGG